RNAcentral lists this ribosomal RNA (253 nucleotides) under uncultured bacterium. RNAcentral describes it as "partial 16S ribosomal RNA". It matches the Rfam family "Bacterial small subunit ribosomal RNA", at positions 524 to 776 of the family's 1533-position model. The record is from RNAcentral.
UACGAAGGGGGCUAGCGUUGUUCGGAAUUACUGGGCGUAAAGCGCACGUAGGCGGAUAUUUAAGUCAGGGGUGAAAUCCCGGGGCUCAACCCCGGAACCGCCUUUGAUACUGGGUAUCUCGAGUCCGAGAGAGGUGAGUGGAAUUCCGAGUGUAGAGGUGAAAUUCGUAGAUAUUCGGAGGAACACCAGUGGCGAAGGCGGCUCUCUGGGACGUGACUGACGCUGAGACGCGAAAGCGUGGGGAGCAAACAGG